Long non-coding RNA from Humulus lupulus (European hop), 3225 nucleotides. RefSeq lists it as uncharacterized. The transcript has 3 exons. The record is from RefSeq and is a predicted model, not a curated record. NCBI's taxonomy places the organism in Eukaryota, Viridiplantae, Streptophyta, Magnoliopsida, Rosales, Cannabaceae.
UUUUUGAGGGCCACUUAAUUUUUUGCUACUAGGUUUCUCACUUCACUUUCUCUCUCUCAAAUCCCCGCCUCUCUCUGAAUCCCUAGACUUCCUUCGUGCCUCUGGUCUCUCACAACCUCUCAACAAAGAUAGCUACAAAGGAACCAAGGCCAAGGGAAUCCUCAUCUCAUCAUCUAAGUCAUCUGUGUGCAUUGUCCAGUCCGCCUUUAUUUAUUUUCCAUUGUUACUUUCGUGAAUAUCCCUAACAAUCUAUUAUAACAUAGAUUUAAAAUAAAGUUAUCAACAUUAUAAAUUUGUAAAUACAAUACUCACGUCUAUCUCAAUCUCUAAGCUUUUUUGUUCUUAAAAAUAUCUUCUUCUAUUACUUAGAUUUUUAAAUAGUUUUGUUCUUAUAUAUAAUUUAAUUCUUUUAGUGAUUUUUUUCUUCUAGCACUACUGUAUGUAAGGAGUUAUGUUUUUUUAAAUAAAAAUUGAUGCUUCAGCGAAAUGGUAAGUGUUGAAUCUUGGAGUCUCUCCUUUUGUGCUUUCAACAUUUUAAGCUAGAAUUUAGCACUACUUUUGGAGUCUCUUUUGUAGAGGUAACUAUUAUAUCUUUCUGAAUUUUGAUUUGUUCUGUUGAUGUACUCUAAUAGUUAAAUGUUAGGGUUUUUAGAUUUGUUUCCUAAAUUAACAUUUUAGGAUAUUCUUAAUUUAGUAUUAAAUUUUAGGGAUUUUUAAUUUUUUGUUGUUUCUAAUAAUAUUUGUUUGUGCUGAGAGUGCACGAGAUGUAUUAUGAAGAAGUGGAGAGACACUUAGAGAGCAUUUAAAGUUUCACAAGCUUCUAAACUUUCAAUUCCAUUUUUUAUCAAUCCCAUAUGCUUAUAUAUCUAUUUGGGGUCAUAUAUGUGAAUUUAUGUAAGUAAUAUAUCCAUGCUUCUGCUAGAAAAAUGAAAAUAUUUAUAUUGCAUCUUUCCUUUAUGUAAUCGUUUAUUAACAUAUUAACAAGGUUAAUGUUGAUAUCUAGCAAGUGUAAUGAUUAAAUAUUUUCAGGUACUUUUACAUGCUUACCAAUUGUUUGUAGAUAGCCCUCCAGAGGUUGGCUUUAUAGAACCCUUCAAUUUUUUUAUUAACUUUAUUUAGAGUUUCCUAUUUCCUAAACCACUAAUAAAACUUAUGCUACUAGACACUAGUUGAUUAAUUUUUCUUUUUUUGCGUGUGUGUGUGAAGGCUUGCCUGCUAUGUGGCCAUGUGGGUACGGUGGCAAGCAUGGAUUGUACAUAAAACAAAUGGGCUCAUAAAAUGAUGUUGUAUCUGAGAUUAAAAUCUAAGCAUUUUGGUGUACAAAAGAAUCAUCUUAUAUUGUUUUCUUUUUGUCAUUAUGUUUCAUGAAGCAUCAUCUUAUAAUUUAACGUGAGACUAACAUUUGUGAAAAUAGAAGUGGUGUAAUAUUAUAUGCAUAUGCUAAGAGUAAAACAUGAUAGUUUUGUCAAAACAUUUUAUAGUGUACUUCAUUUAUGAUAACUAGAAGAACAAUGGUGGACAUAGAUGGGCCUUGUAUUAGUUUUAGAGGACAAGGGGACCAAUUUUCAGUACCUUUGUUUACGAGGAGGAAAUGUUUUUAUAAGUUUUUUUAAAGGUCUAGCUACUUAGUUUAGAAUAAUGUCUAUGGUAUAGAGAAAUGCAAAAUGAUAAUAUAUUUAUAGCCAUGAUAAUGACAAUUGUAAGACAAAGUAUAGUUAAAAAAACUUAUGAUCUUAUACUUUGAAAUAUGGUUUACUUUUCUUUUCUAUUAUUUUCUUCUUCUUAAAUAAUCAGUUAUCAUGCUAUGGAUUUCAUUUUUUUUAAUUAAUUGUUUUUAGGAAACUGCAUAGAUAUAUAGAGUAUUUUAACUUAAUUAAAAAUUGGUUCCAAUUCCAAAUAACGUUUUUCACAAUCCCUUAUUAGCAUAAAAUAGGCGAAUGCAGCUACUUUUCUUUUUUAUUUUAUUACUUACAAAUGAUUAUUUUAUUUUAUAUUUUAUAUUUUUGUUAAAAUAUGAAAUACGUGUAUGGGAAACAUAGUCCUGCAACAUGAAUUAGAUAGACCAAUCAUAGGAUGAGAUUAAAAAAAUAGUUUCUUAAUUGUAUUGGUGAAUGUUUAAUAUCAAUAUAUUAUUUUUCUAUAGGAAUAGACAAUCUUAUACCUGAAAUUUUGGAGCAGACUUUUAAGAAUGAUUGACUACGUGACAUGUAUCUUGGUCUUUCUCUAAAUUUCUUGCAUUACUUCCUAAUUGGGUCAUGAAUCUUGUUGCUUGACUUUUCGGUUCUAGCUUAGCUAGUACCAUGUUUGGUAUUAAAUUGUUGGAGGUCUCCAAAAUCAUUUGCUUCUAAAAGAACCAAAGUUUUAUAAUAUGGAAAGUUUGAAUAUCUUUGAGAAAUGACACAUCUUAAGAAGUUGACACUGUUUCAUGAAUGAUAAAGAUGAAUAAUAUUUUGUUUUCAUGUUUAGAUGAUAGAGUGUGCCACCAUUGCUUCUUUUGGAGUUGACACUAAGGCAACUGAUUAACUAUUUUUAUUUGACAGUCCACUUUUAUAUUCUUAAAAACAUUGCAUUUGUAAAUUUAUAAUUGUUGAUUUAUAUAUGGGGUUUCAAUUUUAUUUCCGGUGGAGUUAUGGAGUGGGGGAAGGUGGUGUCUUAUUUGUUGAUUGAAUGCAUAAGGUGUUUAAUUAUGCACACAUGGGGUUGUUUAGUUUUUUUUUUUAUGAUGUAUUAAAGGUGAUAAUUGACCUUUGAUCAUAAUGAUGAGAAUGAUUUACUGAAACAGGUCCUUGCAAUGUCAAUGGAUGAUCUUGCAUGUGACCAUAAUGUGCGAGAUAGAUACAUGAAAGGCAGAUGUUGAUGCUCCUGAAUUGGCCUUGGCAAUCUGAAACUUGGAAAAAGUUGCUCUCCAUCUACAUCACUUUGGAUAAAAGCAAGUCAAGACAAGUGGUUAUAUGCCUUGCAGAUAAAAGCAAGACAAGUAUUGAUUGUUAUGAAUCAAUUCUAAAUAAUUGUUUAUUAAAAUAUUUUUAUUCAAAAUUUCUUUUGUGUUAUGGGGUUGACCUAAUAGGCAGAGUUUCAAUUGACUUGAAAAGAUCUCGAAGUUUUUAUUUAUUUUUUUAAAUGGAACCUCUAGUAUCUUAAUGUACUUAGGCUCACCCAUUCGGGACAUGAAUAUUUGUAAUAUUAUUCAAUUAGUUAAUAAAAGUUGUAUUCACUUUCUAUUUA